This 87-nucleotide transfer RNA is filed under the name Actinomycetota bacterium. RNAcentral's name for it is "Actinobacteria bacterium (freshwater metagenome) tRNA-Leu". It matches the Rfam family "tRNA". From Rfam's summary of the family: Transfer RNA (tRNA) molecules are approximately 80 nucleotides in length. Their secondary structure includes four short double-helical elements and three loops (D, anti-codon, and T loops). Lineage: Bacteria; Bacillati; Actinomycetota. The record is from RNAcentral.
GCGGACGUGGCGGAACUGGUAGACGCGCCGGGUUUAGGUCCCGGUACCCGUGAGGGUGUGGGGGUUCGAGUCCCUCCGUCCGCACCA